CAGGCUUAGAGGGAUCAAACGAGACUAAAAAUGAAGUUAAAAUAGAUUUAAAUUCAAAGCCGAAAGAUAAUCUGAUCUAAUACACAAGUUGGUGGUCCACCAUAGACCACUUGGUUCAUAAGAAAGUUGAUAAGCCAUGAAAUGCUACAGUAAUUUUCACAUGGCUCAGCCUCUGGUGGGAUGUAUGAGAUUCAAAUCAAAAUAGGACAUCUGAGGGGUUUGUGAAACAAACAGUUUAGAUUCAAAUGGGCUUAAGAGGAGACUUUGGGUGAGCUUUGGCACGCGAGCAUGAGAUAGAACUUGGACUUGGCGUGUACACGGAAGCUAACCUUGAUGG
RNAcentral lists this long non-coding RNA (337 nucleotides) under Elaeis guineensis (African oil palm). RNAcentral describes it as "long non-coding RNA (EGUI_LNC002441)". Lineage: Eukaryota; Viridiplantae; Streptophyta; Magnoliopsida; Arecales; Arecaceae. The record is from RNAcentral.